GCAGUCAUCUUCCUCAGCAGCAAACCCUCUGUCUGCCCUUGGAAAUACUCCAUUAACACUAUCUCUUGGGGGGCUUUCCAAGAAAAAAUCUUCCCGUUCAAAACCAUCCAUACAUUCUAAGUCACAAAUAAUUUUGUUUCUGUCUGUAGUAUUAGGGAAGAGCCUGAAGAUUUUGUCUUCAAUCGUAUGUUUCUCUCUCCACUGAUCAAAUGUGAUUGGCCAUGUUGAUAUCCUCCUGAUUUCUUUCCUAAGGCCUCGACCCAUGUUAUCACCAUGAUGAUCCUCUGGGCACCCAGGACUACAGUUGACUGGGUUGGUGCCAAUGCUGAGAUAAGGAAACUGAGCUACCCAGAGGAAACCUACAUGGGCACAGGGAGAACAAGCAAACUCCACAAAGAAAGGCCCAGGACUUUUUUGUUGUGAGGCAACCGUGCUACCCACUGCACCACCGUGCCACCACAGCAACUCCACCAUACCACCCCUGCACCACCGUGCUACCUUUUGUACGUGCCAUCUCUGUGUUGGCGUGUCUGUGUAGGUAGAAAUUUUGCAUAUGCAUGGUGAGUGACAGUCGUGUGGUUAAUAGCCUCUUGCAGGUUCGUGUCUGCUGAUACGAUAUCAUUUUGGCCGUGUGGACCCUCACAGAUGUGUCAAGCAUAAAUCAGGCUUAAGGCUGUCACUUUUUUCAAAUAAUGAUUUUGGAAGAAUCCCAUAAAUAAUAUAAAUUAUUUCAAAUGUGUACCAUCAGAUAUUCAAUGAAAUAAUGCUUAAAUGCAAUGUAACUAAGAAAUAAUGACAACACUAGGUGAAUCGGCACAAUUUUAACUAGUCACAAUUGUAACAAACCCAUUUUCUCACACAGCUUUGUAAGAACAGAUAUGAAAAUGCAUUUUUGCACUGUGCUGUCUUCUGACUGACAUCCAAGAUUCAGCUCUCUCUCUCUAGGUCGUCCUCAGACGAGCCCUCCAGUGGCGUUUCCAGUCAUCUCGAUCCUCCAUGCAUCUGGCUAGCUCGCCAGUACUUUCCGCCCCUGCAUCUUCUUUUAGUACGUCCACUUACGUUGUUGUGGGAUGCCCUCGUGAUCGAUGCCCGUGUGUUGGCUCCCACAGCACCAGUUUGCUGGCUGGGAGCUCCCGGUGUCUCUGGCAGUGACCGGCCAGCCUCAUUCUCCUGGAUGCUAUUUUCUCACUCACCCUUGGUAGCCCCCCAUACAGAUCCUUGAUGGUAAUAUGUUCGUUCUGGUUGAUGUUCAGUACUACACGCAGUACUACAGUACUUCUCUCUGAAACUCUGUGCAGGUUAUUUAAAAAAAAACAACAACAAAAAAAAAAACAGUUUAAACCGAGGUAAGUAAAUUUAUGAAUCAGAAGAGUUUUUUUAAUUUGGUCGUUCAUGUUUGUGCUCAUUAAACCAAAAUAAAAACUAUUUUGAUUCAUUUAUCUCCUGUUACCAAGUCAGAAUCUGUUUGAAUUGUAUUGUUUAAACAAAGGCAUUGCUAAAUAAGGAAACAGCAAGUCUAUCCCCAUGUGACACAGUUGUAACAUCUGUCCAUUGUUACGACCCCUAUAAGACUAGCUCUUCAAACUCAUGCUUGGUGUGUUGUGGAUAGGGACUGCUUCACUUGACUUAAGCCACGUUUCCACCCAAGGUACCCAGAACUUUUAGUCCCAGGAACUACUUUUCAAGGAACUAAAAGGUUCCUUCAGCCCAUUGUUGUCUACGUUUCCACCGCGAUCUAAAGACCCACGAAGAUUAGGCAAAUUAGUCAACUGACGUAUGAAAAAGCGUCGUCGUCGUCGGUCUAUCUAUCGUAUGAUUUCUUCUGUAACCCAAUACUACCAGAGAAAGUAGCCUACAUUAUUUUCUAAUAACCGGGACAGCCCGGAGGGGUUUAUUCCACUUACACAACAGGUUACCAACAAUGACUAUAUAUGGUUACUUUAGUAUGUAUUGAUUUUUAUCGACUUAAUCACCUGAAAUUGAAAUAUUCUUCCGCGGCCGUUUGGGCAUAUUUUAUAUUACUGUUGUCAAGCAAAACUCUAGUUGGUAGUCGACUUGGACCGUUGUUAUGCAACAAAUAGGAUAUAACAGGCCAAUAGUCAGAUUGUAACUGUUUUAUAUAUCCUCUCAAACACAUUCAUUAUGUUUUUAUGCGAACAUUCACUGUCAUGUCUUGACAUCCCAGGCGACAGAAUGCAUUUUCAUUCCACAAAUAACAACAGCAGAAAACAUGCAUACGUCGUAAACAAUUUGCUGUUGAAUUGAUUACUUCGACUCUCAUCGUCAAUUCCAUAUAGGCUAAUCGCAAAAUGACAAGAAUAAAUAGAAUGAAAACUUGGACUUGCGUGAAAAUUUUAAUUAAUAUUGCAGUGGUACAGCCACCGUUUCCUUUCCUUCAAAGUUACUGCUAACGGAGCAGCGAAGUGUGCCCUCCAGAUGCGAACUAUGCACCAUAAAUUAGUCCAUAGUCUUCCUGGUCUUUUUGUGGAAUUGAAGAAUUGCAGAGUAAAAUUAUGGCAGUCUGAAAAAGCAAAAGGGACGAUUACUAGAAUUAACCUGUUAUUUCACCCUGACAAAAACUGCGGAAGGUGAUUUCCAGUUUGCUUUUACUGUAUCACCAAUGUAAAUUACGCAGAACUACUGCAUACCUCACAUAACUGUAUGAAACGUUUUCAGUCAAUUAUAACGGGCUAACAAAGAAUCCGGAAGAAAAUAUUCAGCAACCGAAUUAAACCGUUUGAAUGUUUUGGUACGUAAUAUGCUGUCCCAGCACGAAUGCUUAAAAUUUUAUAAAACGAAUACUAAAGCAAGAAAAGAACAGAAGAGCACACGUUAUAAUCCUCAAUCUUAAUUUCUCAUCUGUUCCAAGACGUUGGCAGGCUAUAACCAAAAGUAGGCUACUGCGCCGCAUAACAUACAAGUUUGAAUUCAAGUUA
This is a long non-coding RNA of Anguilla rostrata (American eel), 2936 nucleotides long. RefSeq lists it as uncharacterized. The record is from RefSeq and is a predicted model, not a curated record. NCBI's taxonomy places the organism in Eukaryota, Metazoa, Chordata, Actinopteri, Anguilliformes, Anguillidae. The transcript is spliced from 2 exons.